RNAcentral lists this ribosomal RNA (302 nucleotides) under Alpheus lottini. RNAcentral describes it as "partial 16S ribosomal RNA". It matches the Rfam family "Bacterial large subunit ribosomal RNA", at positions 1973 to 2485 of the family's 2925-position model. Lineage: Eukaryota; Metazoa; Arthropoda; Malacostraca; Decapoda; Alpheidae. The record is from RNAcentral.
CCCUUAAUUGGGGGCUUGAAUGAACGGUCGGACAUGAAGGAAGCUGUCUCGGCGCGGAGGACGUGAAAUUAACUUUUGUGUGAAAAGGCAUUAAUGGGUUAGGGGGACGAUAAGACCCUAUAAAACUUGAUGGGUGGGUGUCCGGGCCAGGAGUUGGGUGUAAGGGGGCUCGGGCGGUGUCCAUUUUGCUGGGGCGGCAGGAAUGUAAUCAGUAACCGUUCUUCAGGUGGAAUGGUGAUAGCCAGAUUUUGACCCUGGAUUCUGGGUUAGGAGUGUAAGUUACUUUAGGGAUAACAGCGUUA